GGGUUGUGAGGUUAAGCGACUAAGCGUACACGGUGGAUGCCCUGGCAGUCAGAGGCGAUGAAGGACGUGCUAAUCUGCGAAAAGCGCCGGCGAGGUGAUAUGAACCCUUGACCCGGCGAUGUCCGAAUGGGGAAACCCAGUGCAAUCCGUUGCACUAUCGUUAACUGAAUACAUAGGUUAACGAGGCGAACCGGGGGAACUGAAACAUCUAAGUACCCCGAGGAAAAGAAAUCAACCGAGAUUCCCCCAGUAGCGGCGAGCGAACGGGGAGCAGCCCGGAGUCUGAAUCAGCUUGUGUGUUAGUGGAACGGUCUGGAAAGUCCGACGGUACAGGGUGAUAGUCCCGUACACGAAAGCACACUUGCUGUGAACUCGAAGAGUAGGGCGGGACACGUGGUAUCCUGUCUGAAUAUGGGGGGACCAUCCUCCAAGGCUAAAUACUCCUGACUGACCGAUAGUGAACCAGUACCGUGAGGGAAAGGCGAAAAGAACCCCGGCGAGGGGAGUGAAAAAGAACCUGAAACCGUGUACGUACAAGCAGUGGGAGCCUACUUGUUAGGUGACUGCGUACCUUUUGUAUAAUGGGUCAGCGACUUAUAUUCUGUAGCAAGGUUAACCGUAUAGGGGAGCCGAAGGGAAACCGAGUCUUAACUGGGCGUUAAGUUGCAGGGUAUAGACCCGAAACCCGGUGAUCUAGCCAUGGGCAGGUUGAAGGUUGGGUAACACUAACUGGAGGACCGAACCGACUAAUGUUGAAAAAUUAGCGGAUGACCUGUGGCUGGGGGUGAAAGGCCAAUCAAACCGGGAGAUAGCUGGUUCUCCCCGAAAGCUAUUUAGGUAGCGCCUCGUGAACUCAUCUUCGGGGGUAGAGCACUGUUUCGGCUAGGGGGCCAUCCCGGCUUACCAACCCGAUGCAAACUACGAAUACCGAAGAAUGUUAUCACGGGAGACACACGGCGGGUGCUAACGUCCGUCGUGAAGAGGGAAACAACCCAGACCGCCAGCUAAGGUCCCAAAGUCAUGGUUAAGUGGGAAACGAUGUGGGAAGGCACAGACAGCCAGGAUGUUGGCUUAGAAGCAGCCAUCAUUUAAAGAAAGCGUAAUAGCUCACUGGUCGAGUCGGCCUGCGCGGAAGAUGUAACGGGGCUAAACCAUGCACCGAAGCUGCGGCAGCGACACUAUGUGUUGUUGGGUAGGGGAGCGUUCUGUAAGCCGUUGAAGGUGUGCUGUGAGGCAUGCUGGAGGUAUCAGAAGUGCGAAUGCUGACAUAAGUAACGAUAAAGCGGGUGAAAAGCCCGCUCGCCGGAAGACCAAGGGUUCCUGUCCAACGUUAAUCGGGGCAGGGUGAGUCGACCCCUAAGGCGAGGCCGAAAGGCGUAGUCGAUGGGAAACAGGUUAAUAUUCCUGUACUUGGUGUUACUGCGAAGGGGGGACGGAGAAGGCUAUGUCAGCCGGGCGACGGUUGUCCCGGUUUAAGCAUGUAGGCGGAGGUUCCAGGUAAAUCCGGUACCUUAUUAACGCUGAGGUGUGAUGACGAGGCACUACGGUGCUGAAGUGAUAAAUGCCCUGCUUCCAGGAAAAGCCUCUAAGCAUCAGGUAACACGAAAUCGUACCCCAAACCGACACAGGUGGUCAGGUAGAGAAUACCAAGGCGCUUGAGAGAACUCGGGUGAAGGAACUAGGCAAAAUGGUGCCGUAACUUCGGGAGAAGGCACGCUGAU
Molecule: ribosomal RNA, 1721 nt
Filed under: Enterobacter hormaechei
Lineage: Bacteria; Pseudomonadati; Pseudomonadota; Gammaproteobacteria; Enterobacterales; Enterobacteriaceae
Description: partial 23S ribosomal RNA
Rfam family: Bacterial large subunit ribosomal RNA
Source: RNAcentral